Molecule: ribosomal RNA, 138 nt
Filed under: uncultured eukaryote
Lineage: Eukaryota
Description: partial 18S ribosomal RNA
Rfam family: Eukaryotic small subunit ribosomal RNA
Source: RNAcentral
UGGUGGAGCGAUUUGUCUAGUUAAUUCCGAUAACGAACGAGACUCUGGCCUAUUAAAUAGUUCGCCGAUUCCGAUCUGUCGGCGUUAACUUCUUAGAGGGACAAGUGGCUUUUAGCCACGCGAGAUUGAGCAAUAACA